CAAUAGCGUAUAUUAAAGUUGUUGCAGUUAAAAAGCUCGUAGUUGGAUUUCUGGUUGAAGCGACCGGUCGGGCGUUGAUUCGUCUGCACUGGAGUCGGUUUUGGCCAUCCUCUAGGAAAGUGCGUCUGGUAUUAAGUUAUCGGGCGUAUGAUCCUGGUCUUUUACUGUGAAAAAAUUAGAGUGUUUAAAGCAGACCUUCGCCUUGAAUACAUUAGCAUGGAAUAAUAAGAUAGGACUUUGGUCUAUUUUGUUGGUUUGCAGACCGAAGUAAUGAUUAAUAGGGAUAGUUGGGGGUAUUUAUAUUCCGAUGUCAGAGGUGAAAUUCUUAGAUUUUCGGAAGAUAAACUUAUGCGAAAGCAUUUACCAAGGAUGUUUUCAUUAA
Molecule: ribosomal RNA, 382 nt
Filed under: uncultured eukaryote
Lineage: Eukaryota
Description: partial 18S ribosomal RNA
Rfam family: Eukaryotic small subunit ribosomal RNA
Source: RNAcentral